This 668-nucleotide ribosomal RNA is filed under the name Bacillus subtilis. Its description in RNAcentral is "bacterial SSU rRNA". It matches the Rfam family "Bacterial small subunit ribosomal RNA", at positions 38 to 694 of the family's 1533-position model. The record is from RNAcentral. Lineage: Bacteria; Bacillati; Bacillota; Bacilli; Caryophanales; Bacillaceae.
GGCAGUGCGCUGCUAUACAUGCAAGUCGAGCGGACAGAUGGGAGCUUGCUCCCUGAUGUUAGCGGCGGACGGGUGAGUAACACGUGGGUAACCUGCCUGUAAGACUGGGAUAACUCCGGGAAACCGGGGCUAAUACCGGAUGCUUGUUUGAACCGCAUGGUUCAAACAUAAAAGGUGGCUUCGGCUACCACUUACAGAUGGACCCGCGGCGCAUUAGCUAGUUGGUGAGGUAAUGGCUCACCAAGGCAACGAUGCGUAGCCGACCUGAGAGGGUGAUCGGCCACACUGGGACUGAGACACGGCCCAGACUCCUACGGGAGGCAGCAGUAGGGAAUCUUCCGCAAUGGACGAAAGUCUGACGGAGCAACGCCGCGUGAGUGAUGAAGGUUUUCGGAUCGUAAAGCUCUGUUGUUAGGGAAGAACAAGUACCGUUCGAAUAGGGCGGUACCUUGACGGUACCUAACCAGAAAGCCACGGCUAACUACAUGCCAGCCGGGCGGGGUAAUACGUAGGUGGCAAGCGUUGUCCGGAAUUAUUGGGAUGUAAAGGGCUCGCAGGCUGCUCAUUAAGUCUGAGGCGAAACCCCCUGGCUCACCCGGGGAGGGUCAUUGGAAACUGCGGUACUCGUUGCACAUAAGGAGAGUGUUAUUUCCCAUCUGCAAAGUAGA